UACGAACGCUGGCGGCGUGCUUAACACAUGCAAGUCGAACGGAAAGGCCCUGCUUUUGUGGGGUGCUCGAGUGGCGAACGGGUGAGUAACACGUGAGUAACCUGCCCUUGACUUUGGGAUAACUUCAGGAAACUGGGGCUAAUACCGGAUAGGAGCUCCUGCUGCAUGGUGGGGGUUGGAAAGUUUCGGCGGUUGGGGAUGGACUCGCGGCUUAUCAGCUUGUUGGUGGGGUAGUGGCUUACCAAGGCUUUGACGGGUAGCCGGCCUGAGAGGGUGACCGGCCACAUUGGGACUGAGAUACGGCCCAGACUCCUACGGGAGGCAGCAGUGGGGAAUAUUGCACAAUGGGCGGAGGCCUGAUGCAGCAACGCCGCGUGCGGGAUGACGGCCUUCGGGUUGUAAACCGCUUUCGCCUGUGACGAAGCGUGAGUGACGGUAAUGGGUAAAGAAGCACCGGCUAACUACGUG
Molecule: ribosomal RNA, 468 nt
Filed under: uncultured bacterium
Lineage: Bacteria
Description: partial 16S ribosomal RNA
Rfam family: Bacterial small subunit ribosomal RNA
Source: RNAcentral